ACGGCCAUACCAUGCUGAAUAUACCGGCUCUCGUUAGAUCACCGAAGUCAAGCAUCAUUGGGCGCGGUCAGUACUU
This 76-nucleotide ribosomal RNA is filed under the name Caerostris extrusa. Lineage: Eukaryota; Metazoa; Arthropoda; Arachnida; Araneae; Araneidae. The record is from RNAcentral.